CUCAACCUCAACCACUAAGCCAAGCAAAGGCAAUGCCAAAGCCCAUUGAAACCUGAGACUUUCAGACAGAGACUCACCAACUAUACCCCACACCCACAACCCCCCCUUCUUCUCACUGCACUUUACCCCUCUCAUCUCCAUCUUCUCACUAUCAUUUCUUUGUUUCCCCUCCAAAACCACAAAACCCAUUUCUCUUUCUCUUCUUCACCUUCACCAAUGAGCACCAUGGAUUCCUCUUCCAUCUAUGGUGUCUCUAACUCCCUCUUCUUCUUCCUCACCCUCCUUCUCUUCUCCCUUCUACCAAUCCAUUCACAUUCUGCAUUCCCCCACAACACCUCUUCCUCUUCCACUUCCUCUCAGAUCAAUUCCAACUCAAUCCUCGUCGCGCUUCUCGAUUCCCAUUACACCGAACUCGCCGAGCUCGUCGAGAAAGCCCUUCUUCUUCAGAAACUCGAAGACGCCGUCGGCAACCACAACAUCACCAUCUUCGCCCCCAGAAACCAAGCCCUCGAACGCGACCUUGACCCCGAAUUCAAACGCUUCCUCCUCGAACCUCGCAAUCUCAGGUCACUCCAGACACUCUUGAUGUCCCACAUUCUCCCCACGCGAAUCGCCUCUCGCCACUGGCCCGCCGCCGACCUCCGCCACCCCACCCUCUCCGACCACCACCUCCAUUUGACCUCCAAGCCCUCCGGCGAAAAAACCGUCGACUCCGCCGAGAUCCUCCGCGCCGACGACGUCGUCCGCCCCGACGGCGUCAUCCACGGCAUCGAGCGCCUCAUCGUCCCCCGAUCCGUGCAGGAAGAUUUCAACCGCCGCAGAAACCUCGCCGCUAUCUCCGCCGUCCUACCCGAGGGGGCGCCAGAGGUCGAUCCCCGAACCCACCGCCUGAAGAAACCCGCACCAGUCCCCGCUGGCGCCCCGCCGGUGCUUCCAAUCUACGACGCAAUGGCACCGGGACCAUCGAUUGCUCCGGCGCCGGCACCAGGACCGGGAGGACCGCGUCACCACUUCAACGGCGAGCGUCAGGUGAAGGACUUCAUCCACACUCUGUUGCAUUACGGAGGAUACAACGAAAUGGCCGAUAUCUUAGUAAACUUAACAUCGUUAGCGACCGAAAUGGGAAGGUUAGUUUCGGAAGGUUAUGUUCUCACCGUUUUGGCUCCAAACGACGAAGCGAUGGCGAAGCUUACGACGGACCAGUUGAGCGAACCUGGUGCACCUGAACAGAUCAUGUACUACCACAUCAUUCCCGAGUACCAAACCGAGGAGAGUAUGUACAAUGCCGUUCGCAGGUUCGGUAAAGUCCGUUACGAUACCUUGCGCUUGCCGCAUAAGGUUCUCGCUCAGGAAUCCGACGGCUCCGUUAAAUUCGGUCACGGCGAUUCCUCUGCCUACCUCUUCGAUCCCGAUAUUUACACCGACGGCAGGAUUUCCGUUCAGGGAGUUGACGGCGUUCUCUUCCCUCCGGAGGAGCAAGAAGACGCCACUCCCCGCUCUCGCAGGACCACUCCACUCGUUAAAGUCGCCGCUAAGCCAAGGAGAGAUACUCAUAAGGCAUGCUAGUUUUGUUGCAUCCUAUUGCUUGGAAUCAUAUGUAUGUAUGCAUCAAUGAGAGCUUUUGGGGAGAGAUCUCUAAUUGGAGAGGCCGUGAGGAACUUGCCAACUAUUAGAGAAUAAAAGGGGAAGUUGAUGGAGCUGGCCUGUAGCAUGCUCGGAGUCUGCCAAUGAAUCGCUUUCUAAACUAAUCACAAAAAUAAUAAAGAGUGAAUGUACGUAAACUCCAUGAAUGUUGUAGAGUAAUCAUUUCCAUACAAAGGAUGCACCGUGAAUCUAUAAUCCGAGCGCCAUUACACAGAAGAUAACAAAUUUUCUGUCAUUUUGUUUCAUACUGUAAUUACAUACCAUUUUUUUAUUAAAUUUUUAUCUCAUGUUGAUUCACUGUCUCUAUGCGUAAAUAACCUUGGAAUACGACGCCCCUUCUUGGUUGUUUUUUAUUUUUUUGUUUUUACUUUUAUUUUCCUGCUUGUAUGUAUGUGAACCAAGUUCAUACAUAAUCUACUUUAUUAUUAUUAUGCCUUCCAAAUUCCAUCUCGUUUUCUUUAGCACUUUUU
RNA transcript from Abrus precatorius (Indian licorice), 2114 nucleotides. It is a transcript of the gene named fasciclin-like arabinogalactan protein 15, with no coding region annotated. The record is from RefSeq and is a predicted model, not a curated record. The transcript is spliced from 4 exons. NCBI's taxonomy places the organism in Eukaryota, Viridiplantae, Streptophyta, Magnoliopsida, Fabales, Fabaceae.